Non-coding RNA from Mycena maculata, 86 nucleotides. Lineage: Eukaryota; Fungi; Basidiomycota; Agaricomycetes; Agaricales; Mycenaceae. The record is from the annotation of a GenBank genome assembly.
GGCUUGGUUGCACAGUGGUUAGUGCUACUGCUUAAAGUGUAACUGCACUUAGGAAAAGGUACCCGGUUCGAAUCCGGGUUAGGCCA